RNAcentral lists this transfer RNA (66 nucleotides) under Isoperla bilineata. Its description in RNAcentral is "tRNA-Leu". It matches the Rfam family "tRNA". From Rfam's summary of the family: Transfer RNA (tRNA) molecules are approximately 80 nucleotides in length. Their secondary structure includes four short double-helical elements and three loops (D, anti-codon, and T loops). The record is from RNAcentral. Lineage: Eukaryota; Metazoa; Arthropoda; Insecta; Plecoptera; Perlodidae.
CCCAAUGUGGCAGAAUAGUGCAAUGGAUUUAAGCUCCAAAUAUGGGAGAGCCUCUCCUCAUAGGGA